This 253-nucleotide ribosomal RNA is filed under the name uncultured bacterium. RNAcentral's name for it is "partial 16S ribosomal RNA". It matches the Rfam family "Bacterial small subunit ribosomal RNA", at positions 524 to 776 of the family's 1533-position model. The record is from RNAcentral.
UACGUAGGGGGCAAGCGUUACUCGGAAUUACUGGGCGUAAAGGGUGAGUAGGCGGCUGGGCAAGUCAAGGAUGAAAGCCCGAGGCUCAACUUCGGAACCGUCCUUGAAACUGCUCAGCUUGAGGGUAGUUGAGGAGAGCGGAAUUCCCGGUGGAGCGGUAAAAUGCGUAGAUAUCGGGAGGAACACCUGAGGCGAAGGCGGUUCUCUAAGCUACUCCUGACGCUGAAUCACGAAAGCUAGGGGAGCAAACGGG